This is a long non-coding RNA of Ictalurus punctatus (channel catfish), 2354 nucleotides long. RefSeq lists it as uncharacterized. The transcript has 6 exons. The record is from RefSeq and is a predicted model, not a curated record. NCBI's taxonomy places the organism in Eukaryota, Metazoa, Chordata, Actinopteri, Siluriformes, Ictaluridae.
GUACACACACAUAUUUACAUAUUGUGAUAUUUAGCAAUAUCUCAAUAUAUCUGAAUAUAUGGCAUUUCAUAGGUAUAUACAUGCACUACAUAUACAUGUUUACAUGGUAGUUUAUUAAUCAGAGUAUUGUCUUAAUCGGGUUAAUAGUGGAGUAUUGUUGUCCAUGUAAACGCACUGAUUGACUCCCUUCCAUACAGACAGCAAUACACCAUGACAUCAACACACGAUGACAUCACGACCCAUGACAUCAAAUUCUAAAUUACAAAUUUGUUUUGAUUCAAACCGGUCAGUGAUCAUUGUUGUCCACAAAACCUGAGAAGACGCACACAGCCCAACCAGGAGACCAAAUUGUUGUGGAAAUCAUCAAAGAAACACUCACAGACCUCUGACGUCCUCUGAAGAUCUUUUUAGCUGAUAUGGAAAACACUGAUGCAACUUUUGGCACCUUCAUCAACCCCAACUACUUCCCUGGAAAGUUGUGGCGUUUGGUGAACGAUCCCCAGAUUUGCUCAGUCUGGUGGGACGACAGCGGGGAAGGGAUACUUGUUCAUCAGGAAACAUUCGAAGCCGAAGUGCUAUUGUCCCAACCCACACAUUUGUCUGAGUACUUCAGGACAACUGACUUCAUUAGUUUCGUUCGCCAGCUGAACCUGUACGGCUUCAAAAAACAACGCACGAACAUCUCGGACAAGCAGUCGUACAACUCUUCGAUUAAAGCCCAACUGCACCAUUUUCAUAACCCGUACUUCAAACGGGAUAAGCCCGAGCUCCUGCUCGAUAUAAAGCGACGCACGCCUCUCAAUAAGGCCAAGCUCGCCGGCUUAAAGGUGACGGGCAGGACGCCCAGACGUUUCUAUCACGUGAUGCAGAAUUCAGCACAGGAAACCUCUGGCUUAAUGAGAACAGGUUCAGUCUUGCUUGAACAUCAGGGAACCCCUUACCACCAUCCCUGUAAUGUCCCUCAGCAGGAGCAGAGGAGCAACACACCUCAUCACUCACAGUAGGGGUUUUACACACCAGUGUAUCAGCGCUGUAGCCCAGACGUCUUGGAUUCAACAGUGCCAUGCUCUCAACAACCAGCUGCUUCCUGCUCUCCUAGUGGCUAUCACCCUGACUACUCAGUCGGAUACGCUGACCCGAUCGAUCAGGAUCCAUACUGGAGAGCAGGUGAUGUUCCAGAGUCCCGGACGAGUGACCUGGGCAUAGAGAAAGAGGAACUGGACGCUAUAUUAGAGCUGGCGUUGGACAUGCAGGAUGAAGUUGAUGUCCGGACGUUGCUGCAGCUAUCACUCACCUGUUAAGACAGCUUGAGUGGGUGAUACGAACCCGUAGUGGUGCUACGAAAAAUAAUCUGCCAAACAAAAUGAAUCAAAGAGACAGAGACUGAAUGCAGUCGAUACAAAAAAAAAUCAUUUGUAAAAUAGACAUUUGAUUGAAUGACAGUUUACAGUUUUUAUGUGUAUUUUGGGAAAAUAUAAGAUGUAAAUUAUGUCCAAGUCACUUGAGAGCAUUACUGUAAAUUAAUGUAAUCCUACAGCUCUCUAGAUUAUUUGUUGUAAUAAUAAUAAGAAGGAGAAUUGUGUUUCACAUUUUUUAGACCUGAAUGUUAUAAAUGUUAGGAAGAUUUUUUAUUUAUUUUUUUAUAUCUUAUCUUUUUUAUUUAUUCGUUUCAGGCAUACUGUUUUAGUCUUUUUUACUCAUGUACAAGCCGUUUAUUUAGAAAUGUGAUAUUUAGAUAUUUAAACAAAAUCAAAUUUCAUAUAUCAUGCAGUUUUAAGUAAAAAAAUAAAGAUAUGGGAUCGAUUCAUGAAAGGGUUCAUUAUUAUACUCUGGCACGAAUACGACACCUUUGUGUUGCUAUAUGAGUAAGAAACAUAAACACCCAUGUGGCCGGUGUUAGCCGCUGGAACAAUAUCUACGACUCUGUGUAGACCAGCACACUGGCAGGUACACACACCACAGGAAAACUGCAAAUAUUUGCCUGUGUUAAGAGCGGCCUGUUCUCCUGAAGCUCUUAUUUAAUGAAGUAUAACCUUGUUGAAGGACAAACAGUUGGAGCUGUUUUAGUGAUGUUUUAGUGUUGUAGCUCUAUAGCUCUCUAGAUUAUUUGUUGUAAUAAUAAGAUGAUUUUGUGUUUCACAUUUUUUUAGACCUGAAUGUUAUAAAUGUUAGGAAGAUUUCUUGUUUAUUUUUUAAUAUCUUAUCUUUUUUAUUUAUUCAUUUCAGGCAUACUGUUUUAGCCUUUUUAAUGCUGCCUGACAUGUAGAGAAGUAACUGUUACCAAUAAAGUGAAUUAUUUCUUUUAACAGCAUGUCCUGAAGUGCUUUAUUCCUCUUAUACUACAGCAGUUUUUA